This 464-nucleotide ribosomal RNA is filed under the name uncultured bacterium. RNAcentral's name for it is "partial 16S ribosomal RNA". It matches the Rfam family "Bacterial small subunit ribosomal RNA", at positions 28 to 507 of the family's 1533-position model. The record is from RNAcentral.
GACGAACGCUGGCGGCGUGCUUAACACAUGCAAGUCGAACGGUAAGGCCCUUUCGGGGGUACACGAGUGGCUCACGGGUGAGUAACACGUGGGUGAUCUUCCCUCCACUUUGGGAUAGGGCUGGGCAACUGGGUCUAAUACCGGAUAGGACUACGCGUUGAAUGUCGGGUGGGGGAAAGCUUCUGCGGUGGGGGAUGGGGGCGCGGCCUAUCAGCUUGUUGGUGGGGUGAUGGCCUACCAAGGCGACGAUGGGUAGCCGGCCUGAGAGGGUGUCCGGCCACACUGGGAUUGAGAUACGGCCAAGACUCCUACGGGCGGAAGCAGUGGGGAAUAUUGCACAAUGGGCGGAAGCCGGAUGCAGGGACGCCGCGUGGUGGAUGACGGCCUUCCGGUUGUAAACGCCUUUCAGCGCAGAGGAAGCGUAAGUGACGGUAUGUGCAGAAGAAGCACCGGCCAACUACGUG